AAAUUGAAGAGUUUGAUCAUGGCUCAGAUUGAACGCUGGCGGCAGGCCUAACACAUGCAAGUCGAACGGUAACAGGAAGCAGCUUGCUGCUUUGCUGACGAGUGGCGGACGGGUGAGUAAUGUCUGGGAAACUGCCCGAUGGAGGGGGAUAACUACUGGAAACGGUAGCUAAUACCGCAUAACGUCGCAAGACCAAAGAGGGGGACCUUAGGGCCUCUUGCCAUCGGAUGUGCCCAGAUGGGAUUAGCUAGUAGGUGGGGUAACGGCUCACCUAGGCGACGAUCCCUAGCUGGUCUGAGAGGAUGACCAGCCACACUGGAACUGAGACACGGUCCAGACUCCUACGGGAGGCAGCAGUGGGGAAUAUUGCACAAUGGGCGCAAGCCUGAUGCAGCCAUGCCGCGUGUAUGAAGAAGGCCUUCGGGUUGUAAAGUACUUUCAGCGGGGAGGAAGGGAGUAAAGUUAAUACCUUUGCUCAUUGACGUUACCCGCAGAAGAAGCACCGGCUAACUCCGUGCCAGCAGCCGCGGUAAUACGGAGGGUGCAAGCGUUAAUCGGAAUUACUGGGCGUAAAGCGCACGCAGGCGGUUUGUUAAGUCAGAUGUGAAAUCCCCGGGCUCAACCUGGGAACUGCAUCUGAUACUGGCAAGCUUGAGUCUCGUAGAGGGGGGUAGAAUUCCAGGUGUAGCGGUGAAAUGCGUAGAGAUCUGGAGGAAUACCGGUGGCGAAGGCGGCCCCCUGGACGAAGACUGACGCUCAGGUGCGAAAGCGUGGGGAGCAAACAGGAUUAGAUACCCUGGUAGUCCACGCCGUAAACGAUGUCGACUUGGAGGUUGUGCCCUUGAGGCGUGGCUUCCGGAGCUAACGCGUUAAGUCGACCGCCUGGGGAGUACGGCCGCAAGGUUAAAACUCAAAUGAAUUGACGGGGGCCCGCACAAGCGGUGGAGCAUGUGGUUUAAUUCGAUGCAACGCGAAGAACCUUACCUGGUCUUGACAUCCACGGAAGUUUUCAGAGAUGAGAAUGUGCCUUCGGGAACCGUGAGACAGGUGCUGCAUGGCUGUCGUCAGCUCGUGUUGUGAAAUGUUGGGUUAAGUCCCGCAACGAGCGCAACCCUUAUCCUUUGUUGCCAGCGGUCCGGCCGGGAACUCAAAGGAGACUGCCAGUGAUAAACUGGAGGAAGGUGGGGAUGACGUCAAGUCAUCAUGGCCCUUACGACCAGGGCUACACACGUGCUACAAUGGCGCAUACAAAGAGAAGCGAUCUCGCGAGAGCAAGCGGACCUCAUAAAGUGCGUCGUAGUCCGGAUUGGAGUCUGCAACUCGACUCCAUGAAGUCGGAAUCGCUAGUAAUCGUGGAUCAGAAUGCCACGGUGAAUACGUUCCCGGGCCUUGUACACACCGCCCGUCACACCAUGGGAGUGGGUUGCAAAAGAAGUAGGUAGCUUAACCUUCGGGAGGGCGCUUACCACUUUGUGAUUCAUGACUGGGGUGAAGUCGUAACAAGGUAACCGUAGGGGAACCUGCGGUUGGAUCACCUCCUUA
This 1542-nucleotide ribosomal RNA is filed under the name Escherichia coli. RNAcentral describes it as "bacterial SSU rRNA". It matches the Rfam family "Bacterial small subunit ribosomal RNA". The record is from RNAcentral. Lineage: Bacteria; Pseudomonadati; Pseudomonadota; Gammaproteobacteria; Enterobacterales; Enterobacteriaceae.